AAAAAUAUUGCUAAUAAUUAUCUAAGCCUUCAGGGAAUUGCAACGUUUUGGCUGAUGAAGGAGGGUCUUGUCUCCACAGCCAAACCGACAGGUGGUGGUUGCUGAACUGCUGAAGAUUGGGCUGUGGCAAUUUCUUAGAAUCGGACAACAAUGCGGGGAGAGGCAGAGGGCGGCCCCCGCGCAGGCAAAGACUGGGGGGCCCGGUCGCCGCGGUGCAGUUCUUGCCGGAGCCGAGCCCAGCGGAGCGCCCGCUACUACCCAUUCGCCUCUGCGCCAUGGCCGGCCUCAACUCCCUGGAGGCGGUGAAACUGAAGAUCCAAGCCCUGCAGCAGCAGGCGGACUAGGUGGAAGACCGUGCGCAGGGCCUGCAGCGGGAGCUGGAUGGAGACCGCCAGCGGCGCGAGAAAACUGAAGAUGUUGUGGCCGCCCUUAAACGAUGCAUCCAGCUCGUAGAGGAGGAGCUGGACAGGGCUCAGGAACCACUGGCCACAGCCCUGCAGAAGCUGCAGGAAGCGGAAAAGGCUGCAGUUGAGAGUGAGAGAGGAAUGAAGGUGAUAGAAAACCGGGCCAUAAAGGAUGAGGAGAAGAUGGAGAUUCAGGAGAUACAGCUCAAAGAGGCCAAGCACAUUGAGGAAGAGGCUGACCGCAAAUACGAGGAGGUAGCUCUAAGCUGGUCAUCCUGGAGGGUGAGCUGGAGAGGGUAGAGGAGCGUGCGGAGGUGUCUGAACUAAAAUGUGGUGACCUGGAAGAAGAACUCAAGAAUGUUACUAACAAUCUGGAGGCUACAUCUGAAAAGUAUUCUGAAAAGGAAGACAAAUAUGAAGAAGAAAUUAAACUUCUGUCUGACAAACUGAAAGAGGCUGAGACCCGUGCUGAAUUUGCAGAGAAUGGUGGCAAAACUUGAAAAGACCAUUGAUGACCUGGAAGAGAAACUUGCCCAGGCCAAAGAAGAGAAUGUGGGCUUACAUCAGACACUGGAUCAGACACUAAAUGAAUUUAACUGUAUAUAAUCAAAACAGAAGAGUCUUGUUUCAACAGAAACUCCGGAGCUGCGUGGGUCUUUCUCUUCCCUUGUAAGAAGUUCCUUUUGUUAGUGCCAUCUUCGCUCUGAUGGAAAUGUGAAGCAAAUUAUGAAUACAUGACCAAAUAUUUUGUAUUGGAGAAGCUUUGAGCACCAGUUAAAUCUCAUUCCUUUCCUUCCCCUCCCCUCAAAUGGCACCAGCAUUUUCAGCUCUCUUAUUUUUCCCUUACGUUGUAUUUAUUCCUAAGGUAGGCAGGGUAUUUCCUAGUAAGCAUACUUUCUUAAGACGGAGGGCAUUUGGUUUCUGGGAGAAUAGGCAGCCUCACACUUUGAAGAACACAGACCCCAGUAUCUAGUGGAUCUGUUUAAAAUGCUGAAGAACAUAACUUUUUGGGUCAACUGUUAGUCGAACUAUAGGAGAGACCAGGGACCAUCACAUAGGUGGGGAUUUUCCAUCCAGAGCUAAUAAAAGGGUGGGACGGGGGGGGGGUAUUGUGGGAAGUCAUAACCCAUGGAUAGAUUAACCUAAGAAUCCUGGCCCUUCUCCACACUCCACCAUGCAGAACAAACAUCCUCUCAAACAGUCGACAUAGAAUGCUUGGGAAAUGGUUGUAAUUACCCACAUAUUUUCUGGUUAGUUCCUUGAUGUGAUGUUCUGCAUAUUUCCUUCGUUCUAAAGUUGUUCUCUGGCCGAGUGUGGUAGCUCUCGCCUGUAAUCCCAACUUUGGGAGGCCAAGGCAGGCAGAUCACUUGAGGUCAGGAGUUCAAGACCAACCUGGCCAACAUGGCAAAACCCCUUCACUACUAAAAUUAUAAAAAUUAUGAUGGCACCUGCCUGCAGUCUCAGCUACUCCAGGAGGCUGAGGCAGGAGGAUUCCUUGAACCCAGAAAGUGGAGGUUGCAGUGAACCAAGAUCACUGCACUGCAUUCCAGCCCAGGCAACAGAGUGAGACUCCAUCUCAAGAAAAAAUAAAAUAAAAAUAAAGUUGUUCUUUGAGAAGCAAAUGUCUCCUUUCAAUAAUGACACAUCCACUCAGUCCAAUUCAGGUCAACCAUAUCCAAAAGACUAUAAGUCAUUAAUAAGUUGAGCAGAAGAGUUUUUUUUUUUUCUCUUAGCAGAAAGGGCCUCUCUGGCAGCAGAGAUUAAAAAUUGCCCAACUUCAUUUCCAUACUUCAGGGAAUAGCAAAUUGAAGAUUUACUUAUCUAGGACUUGAAUUCCUUCUUUGGGACCAAGUUAAUCAAAGACCAAGAAACUCCUGAUUAAACUGGAUAAUGGAGGAUUUUGUAGACAGGGCUGCACACAUUGGCUUUGUUUUACUUCUGUUUUCUCAGUUAACAUCUCAGAGCUGGAACAUUCCACAUUCCCCAGCAGUAUAUGGGGGCCAACAAAAAUUUACAAUUCCGACUAAAAAUCACCUUGCUUCUGGCUUAUUUGAAUCCCCUAUCCACCCCGUCCCACCACCCUGCUCCUAUUUAUUCGGCACCACACUACUUAGGAAAUACACUGACAAAUUGUGCAAUUGAAUGAAAUCCACACUUUUCUUUAGAUUCUUGCAACUGUAUCAUAUGUAACAGUAUCACUUUUCUACAUUUGGUCAAAUAAAUUUUUACAUAAACUA
This is an RNA transcript of Cebus imitator (Panamanian white-faced capuchin), 2641 nucleotides long. It is a transcript of the gene named tropomyosin alpha-4 chain-like, with no coding region annotated. The transcript has a single exon. Lineage: Eukaryota; Metazoa; Chordata; Mammalia; Primates; Cebidae. The record is from RefSeq and is a predicted model, not a curated record.